CCUACGGGAGGCAGCAGUGGGGAAUUUUGGACAAUGGGCGCAAGCCUGAUCCAGCCAUUCCGCGUGAGUGAAGAAGGCCUUCGGGUUGUAAAGCUCUUUCGGCAGGGAAGAAACAGUUGAGGCUAAUAUCCUUGACCAAUGACGGUACCUGCAUAAGAAGCACCGGCUAACUACGUGCCAGCAGCCGCGGUAAUACGUAGGGUGCGAGCGUUAAUCGGAAUUACUGGGCGUAAAGCGUGCGCAGGCGGUUUUUCAAGUCUGAUGUGAAAGCCCCGGGCUUAACCUGGGAACUGCGUUGGAAACUGAAAGACUAGAGUGCGGCAGAGGGGGGUAGAAUUCCACGUGUAGCAGUGAAAUGCGUAGAUAUGUGGAGGAAUACCGAUGGCGAAGGCAGCCCCCUGGGUCGACACUGACGCUCAUGCACGAAAGCGUGGGUAGCAAACAGGAUUAGAUACCCUGGUAGUCCACGCCCUAAACGAUGUCAACUAGUUGUUGGGGNGGGAGACCUCCUUAGUAACGCAGCUAACGCGUGAAGUUGACCGCCUGGGGAGUACGGUCGCAAGAUUAAAACUCAAAGGAAUUGACGGGGGCCCGCACAAGCGGUGGAUUAUGUGGAUUAAUUCGAU
RNAcentral lists this ribosomal RNA (626 nucleotides) under uncultured bacterium. RNAcentral's name for it is "bacterial SSU rRNA". It matches the Rfam family "Bacterial small subunit ribosomal RNA", at positions 338 to 955 of the family's 1533-position model. The record is from RNAcentral.